This 301-nucleotide ribosomal RNA is filed under the name uncultured bacterium. RNAcentral describes it as "partial 16S ribosomal RNA". It matches the Rfam family "Bacterial small subunit ribosomal RNA", at positions 509 to 807 of the family's 1533-position model. The record is from RNAcentral.
CAGUCGCCGCGGUAAUACGAAGGGGGCUAGCGUUGUUCGGAUUUACUGGGCGUAAAGCGCACGUAGGCGGACUUUUAAGUCAGGGGUGAAAUCCCGGGGCUCAACCCCGGAACUGCCUUUGAUACUGGAAGUCUUGAGUAUGGUAGAGGUGAGUGGAAUUCCGAGUGUAGAGGUGAAAUUCGUAGAUAUUCGGAGGAACACCAGUGGCGAAGGCGGCUCACUGGACCAUUACUGACGCUGAGGUGCGAAAGCGUGGGGAGCAAACAGGAUUAGAUACCCCAGUAGUCCCUGUCUCUUAUAC